GAUGAACGCUGGCGGCGUGCCUAAUACAUGCAAGUCGAGCGAACAGACGAGGAGCUUGCUCCUCUGACGUUAGCGGCGGACGGGUGAGUAACACGUGGAUAACCUACCUAUAAGACUGGGAUAACUUCGGGAAACCGGAGCUAAUACCGGAUAAUAUAUUGAACCGCAUGGUUCAAUAGUGAAAGACGGUUUUGCUGUCACUUAUAGAUGGAUCCGCGCCGAAUUAGCUAGUUGGUAAGGUAACGGCUUACCAAGGCAACGAUGCGUAGCCGACCUGAGAGGGUGAUCGGCCACACUGGAACUGAGACACGGUCCAGACUCCUACGGGAGGCAGCAGUAGGGAAUCUUCCGCAAUGGGCGAAAGCCUGACGGAGCAACGCCGCGUGAGUGAUGAAGGUCUUCGGAUCGUAAAACUCUGUUAUUAGGGAAGAACAAAUGUGUAAGUAACUAUGCACGUAUUGACGGUACCUAAUCAGAAAGCCACGGCUAACUACGUG
Molecule: ribosomal RNA, 497 nt
Filed under: uncultured bacterium
Lineage: Bacteria
Description: partial 16S ribosomal RNA
Rfam family: Bacterial small subunit ribosomal RNA
Source: RNAcentral